CGUGUAGGCGGUUUGUUAAGUCUGAUGUGAAAGCCCCGGGCUCAACCUGGGAAGUGCAUUGGAAACUGGCAGACUUGAAUACGGGAGAGGGUAGUGGAAUUCCUAGUGUAGGAGUGAAAUCCGUAGAUAUUAGGAGGAACACCGGUGGCGAAGGCGGCUGCCUGGACCGAUAUUGACGCUGAGACGCGAAAGCGUGGGGAGCAAACAGGAUUAGAUACCCUGGUAGUCCACGCCGUAAACGAUGAGUACUAGGUGUUGGCGGGUAUUGACCCCUGCAGUGCCGCAGCUAACGCAUUAAGUCUCCGCCUGGGAAGUACGGCCGCAAGGCUAAA
Molecule: ribosomal RNA, 332 nt
Filed under: uncultured bacterium
Lineage: Bacteria
Description: bacterial SSU rRNA
Rfam family: Bacterial small subunit ribosomal RNA
Source: RNAcentral